GGGAAACUAUCUUGUAUCCAUGUUUAACAUGGGAGAAAGCACGGAAAUGCCCAUGCAGCCAGCCAGUUCGCCAGAAUUCGAACCUACUGUUUAGUGCCUUUACUGCUUGGCUGCUGGUGAGCACUGCAAUCUGAGGAAAAAUACAGUUAAACAUAGGGCUUGGAAAAUAGUAUGUGCUGAUAUUACAGCUAAAUUUAAAUAUUCUUUUUCUUAUAUGCCUGUGAUAAUUGUCAAUAAAUAUUUUUAUUUUUAGGCAUGCUUUUUAAGGGGCCUGAACCCUGUUGGGUUAUCAAAAGAAGAAAUGAUCACAUGGCUGUCUCAAUGGAUAUUUAUUGCGCAGAAUAUUGAAAGUAAAAGUCUGUCUGUCCUUUUACAUUGUCCAAUAUUUUUGUCUUAUAACUAUCCUAACAACUGGGUUCUCAUUCAUUAGAAAUAUGUAAAAAAGAAUUUAAACUGUUACAACAUCUAUUUAUAUGCAACAGAACUUUUGUAUAUAUUUGAAAAUAGACAUUUUGUGUAAAUCUGUAAAUUUCUAAGUGUAGUAAAUAAAAUAUUUAUUUGA
Molecule: long non-coding RNA, 562 nt
Organism: Stegodyphus dumicola
Lineage: Eukaryota; Metazoa; Arthropoda; Arachnida; Araneae; Eresidae
Source: RefSeq, a predicted model, not a curated record